This 107-nucleotide small nucleolar RNA is filed under the name Helianthus annuus (common sunflower). RNAcentral describes it as "Plant small nucleolar RNA R71". It matches the Rfam family "Plant small nucleolar RNA R71". From Rfam's summary of the family: R71 is a member of the C/D box family of snoRNAs containing the C (UGAUGA) and D (CUGA) box motifs. Multiple nearly identical copies of this snoRNA have been identified in Arabidopsis, and it is thought to function as a 2'-O-ribose methylation guide for 18S ribosomal RNA. The record is from RNAcentral. Lineage: Eukaryota; Viridiplantae; Streptophyta; Magnoliopsida; Asterales; Asteraceae.
AGACCAUGAUGCGGGCAUUUCGUUAGCAGCUCCUUAAACCUUUCCAAUGUCUCAUACAAGGAUUCCCCGUCAUUUUGAGAGUAGGUGUUGAUCUCGGUCAUGAGUUU